GUGCUCGCUUCAGCAGCACACACACUAAAACUGGACCGAUACAGCGAAGGUUGGCAUGGCCCCUGAGCAAAGAUAUCACGCAAAUUCAUGAAACGUUCCGUAUUUUU
Peromyscus eremicus (cactus mouse) is the source of this 107-nucleotide small nuclear RNA. The record is from RefSeq and is a predicted model, not a curated record. NCBI's taxonomy places the organism in Eukaryota, Metazoa, Chordata, Mammalia, Rodentia, Cricetidae.